Molecule: ribosomal RNA, 460 nt
Filed under: uncultured bacterium
Lineage: Bacteria
Description: partial 16S ribosomal RNA
Rfam family: Bacterial small subunit ribosomal RNA
Source: RNAcentral
CCUACGGGUGGCAGCAGUGAGGAAUAUUGGUCAAUGGACGAAAGUCUGAACCAGCCAAGUAGCGUGAAGGAUGACUGCCCUAUGGGUUGUAAACUUCUUUUAUAAAGGAAUAAAACGAGGCACGUGUGCCUUUUUGCAUGUACUUUAUGAAUAAGGAACGGCUAACUCCGUGCCAGCAGCCGCGGUAAUACGGAGGAUCCGAUCGUUAUCCGGAUUUAUUGGGUUUAAAGGGAGCGGAGAUGGGUUGUUAAGUCAGUUGUGAAAGUUUGCGGCUCAACCGUAAAAUUGCAAUUGAUACUGGCAGUCUUGAGUACAGUAGAGGUAGGCGGAAUUCGUGGUGUAGCGGUGAAAUGCUUAGAUAUCACGAAGAACACCGAUUGCGAAGGCAGCUUACUAAACUGUGACUGACAUUGAUGCUCGAAAGUGUGGGGAGCAAACAGGAUUAGAUACCCCAGUAGUC